Molecule: ribosomal RNA, 364 nt
Filed under: uncultured bacterium
Lineage: Bacteria
Description: partial 16S ribosomal RNA
Rfam family: Bacterial small subunit ribosomal RNA
Source: RNAcentral
CCUACGGGUGGCAGCAGUGAGGGAUAUUGGACAAUGGACGGAAGUCUGAACCAGCCAUGCCGCGUGCAGGAAGACGGCUCUAUGAGUUGUAAACUGCUUUUGUACAAGGGUAAACCUGAAUACGUGUAUUCAGCUGAAAGUACUGUACGAAUAAGGAACGGCCAACUCCGUGCCAGCAGCGGCGGUCAUACGGAGGAUCCAAGCGUUAUCCGGAUUUAUUGGGUUGAAAGGGUGCGUAGGCGGAUUGAUAAGUUUGAGUGGAAAUGUCCGGGCUUAACUCGGGAACUGCCUCCAGUACUGUUGAUCUAGAGAGUAGAAGCGGUAGGCGGAAUGUAUAGUGUAGCGGUGAAAUGCUUAGAGAUUA